Erpetoichthys calabaricus (reedfish) is the source of this 940-nucleotide long non-coding RNA. RefSeq lists it as uncharacterized. NCBI's taxonomy places the organism in Eukaryota, Metazoa, Chordata, Cladistia, Polypteriformes, Polypteridae. The record is from RefSeq and is a predicted model, not a curated record. The transcript is spliced from 3 exons.
UGGCCAUGUGCUUUUGGUUAUUGUUGAUGGCCAUUAUUUUCAGAUCUUUCCCAUGUUUAUCCUUGUUUCUUAUCAUUUUCAUUUUCUGUGUUUCCCAUUAUAAAAAGGUCAGGUGAGUGAAGUACCCUUUGCAGGCUUGAUGUAAAGCCCCUACUUGUAUGUUCGUCCUUUCAGGAUUUUUAGUUUCCUUUUUGUAUGAUGUGGUGUCUGAUUUCAGUCGACCCAGUUCUAAAGUUGGAGCCCCUGAUUUAAGUAAGCAGGUAAAACAAAGGAGAAGUAAUGGAAUGCCUGUAGAUGUUGUGAUUUCCCAGGACCUUAGGUGUCCGGUGGUUUACAAUCACAAAUUCUCUUUCUAUGUAACUUCAGUGUUUUGGCAGCUCACAAACUUGACCUUUUUAUUUUUUAAUGCAGCAUCCAUACAAGAUAAACAAUGCAGAAGCAUCUCUGUAUGGUGUGGAAUAACAACUGUAUUCCUGGUGCAUUUCUGUUGGGCAGCAUGUAGUCACAUUAAAAAGAAAUGCAGGAAUAAAGACAACAAAGAAGGGAAUGAUCCUUUGAUUCUUGAAGAGCAAGCCAAUCCAGUGGAAGAUAUCCAUACUGUGUAGUAAUUGGAUCAAGCAGCUUCCCCUUCACAAAAGUCAUACCUGAUCUUUGGCUCAUCCAUCCUUCUAUAAUCUUUAAUUCAGAAUACCAUAAUUUGUCCCAUCUUGCUAUUAUUUUUCCUUAGACUUUAUCUUGAUAUUAUGCUGACUUGAGAUCCUCUCCAGCUCAGGUCUCUCAUGUGAAAUUAUGACCUGAUUAAAUAAAGAUGUGCUAAGAAGCAAAUUAUAAGCAUACUUUGAUCUGCUAUUAACCCAAGCUACACGGAAUGGGAAAGAGUUGAGAGAAAGCAGGAGGAUAAUCCCAGAGUGUCAGAACUCCAUCUAUGUCCUUAUCUAGA